Molecule: transfer RNA, 82 nt
Filed under: Halobacteriales archaeon
Lineage: Archaea; Methanobacteriati; Methanobacteriota; Halobacteria; Halobacteriales
Description: tRNA-Ser
Rfam family: tRNA
About the family: Transfer RNA (tRNA) molecules are approximately 80 nucleotides in length. Their secondary structure includes four short double-helical elements and three loops (D, anti-codon, and T loops).
Source: RNAcentral
GUCAGGAUGGCUGAGCGGUAAGGCGCACGCCUGGAAAGCGUGUUCCCUCACGGGAUCCAGGGUUCGAAUCCCUGUCCUGACG